GGACUACCCGGGUAUCUAAUCCUGUUUGAUCCCCACGCUUUCGCACCUCAGCGUCAAUAUCGAGCCAGUAAGCCGCCUUCGCCACUGGUGUUCCUGUGAAUAUCUACGAAUUUCACCUCUACACUCACAAUUCCACUUACCUCUCUCGAAUUCAAGACUUCCAGUAUCAAAGGCAGUUCCGAGGUUGAGCCUCGGGAUUUCACCCCUGACUUAAAAGUCCGCCUACGUGCGCUUUACGCCCAGUGAUUCCGAACAACGCUAGCCCCCUUCGUAUUACCGCGGCUGCUGGCAC
Molecule: ribosomal RNA, 292 nt
Filed under: uncultured bacterium
Lineage: Bacteria
Description: partial 16S ribosomal RNA
Source: RNAcentral